CAUUAAAUGGCUGAAAUGAAAGUAAUGGUCUCUUAAACCAUCCAUGUUAUAAACAAAUAUCUUUAAUGA
This 69-nucleotide transfer RNA is filed under the name Podura aquatica (water springtail). RNAcentral's name for it is "tRNA-Lys". The record is from RNAcentral. Lineage: Eukaryota; Metazoa; Arthropoda; Collembola; Poduromorpha; Poduridae.